GCCAGGGACCGUGGCAUGUACCUGUAGUCCCAGCUACUUGGAAGGCCAAGGCAGGAGGAUUGCUUGAUCCUAGAAGUUUGGGGACAGCCUAGGAUAAAUACUAAGACAUUGUCUCAA
RNAcentral lists this small RNA (117 nucleotides) under Marmota monax (woodchuck). Lineage: Eukaryota; Metazoa; Chordata; Mammalia; Rodentia; Sciuridae. The record is from RNAcentral.